RNAcentral lists this ribosomal RNA (253 nucleotides) under uncultured bacterium. RNAcentral describes it as "partial 16S ribosomal RNA". It matches the Rfam family "Bacterial small subunit ribosomal RNA", at positions 524 to 776 of the family's 1533-position model. The record is from RNAcentral.
UACGUAGGUGGCAAGCGUUGUCCGGAUUUAUUGGGUUUAAAGGGUGCGUAGGCGGCUUUGUAAGUCAGUGGUGAAAUAUGGCAGCUCAACUGUCAGGGUGCCAUUGAUACUGCAGAGCUUGAGUACAGAUGAGGUAGGCGGAAUUGACGGUGUAGCGGUGAAAUGCUUAGAUAUCGUCAAGAACACCGAUAGCGAAGGCAGCUUACUGGGCUGUAACUGACGCUGAGGCGCGACAGCGUGGGGAGCAAACAGG